RNA transcript from Salvia splendens (bonfire salvia), 3595 nucleotides. It is a transcript of the gene named pentatricopeptide repeat-containing protein At4g19440, chloroplastic, with no coding region annotated. The record is from RefSeq and is a predicted model, not a curated record. NCBI's taxonomy places the organism in Eukaryota, Viridiplantae, Streptophyta, Magnoliopsida, Lamiales, Lamiaceae. The transcript has 3 exons.
AUGGUUUUGGGGUGUUGGGAUCUAAUCGUUCCUGACAUAGACCUCUUCUCUCUCUCACUUGCUCCUCGUGGCCUCUUCUCUUCCGCUACCAUUAAACCUCUCCCCGAUUUUCAUGGCUUCCCCUCUUUCCACACCUCCUCUCUAGACCUCCAUUUCUUCACCUCCGCUCCUGCUAAUCUCGCCAAUUACAAUCCCAAUCUAUAUAUGGACAUGAGAAGAUCCGCCCUCCAGAAAUCCGCCACCAACACCGCCGCGAUACUCUUCUUUCCUAUCAAACGACCGCUAACCGUCUCGCCUCAUCCCUUACCGCGACCGGAUAAUCUAAUCGCUAAACCUAAACCUAAACCUAAACCAAAAGAGGCUCCUCAAUCGCCGAAUCCCCCUGAUUCAGCUGCAUUUGAUCAGCGAUUUCGUGAUACCGCGAGUUUUUCUUCUGCUCUUUCCGCACCGAAUUUGAAUUCAUUUCACUGUAGCGAUUUGCUUACGCGUUUGAAUCCUAGCCAAUUUGAUUCUAUUUUUUGGGAAAUUCAUAAUAAUGUUGAUCCUUCCACCGCAUUGAAGUUCUUUUACGUUGCCGGGAACCGCUGCAGCUUUAGGUUUUCGCUUAGAUCGUAUUGCGUGUUGUUUCACUUGUUGCUUUCUAAGAAUCUCGAUUCAGCUGCGCGGUUGCUCCUGAUAAGAUUGAUUGAUGGAAAGUUGCCCAUGGCAUUGAGGGAUGAUGUUGGGGAUUUGCAUAGGGAGAUUGCUACUGUUUUGGCAGAUGCUUGUUUUGGUUCGGAGAGAUUUAGGGGAGGGGUGAGAGCGUUUGAUAUUUUGGCUCAUGUUUAUGUUAGUGAUCUUAAGAGCUUCGGGUUUGAUGUUGCAAUGGAUGUGUUUAGGUUCUUAGCCAGUAGAGAGUUGGUUCCAUCUGUCAGGACUUGCGUUUUUUUUAUGAGCACUCUUGUUAAGGAAGGCGAACCUGAGAAAGGCUACGAAGUUUUUAAUAUUGUUUCGAGAAAAUUUUCACCAGAUCUUCACUUAUACAGUAUUGCAAUAAAUGCGCAGUGCAAAAGAGGUAAGGUUGAGGAGGCAAUUGAACUGUUUAAGCAAAUGGAGAGUAAAGGAGUUACACCGAAUGUUGUUAUAUAUAACAAUCUAAUGCAUGGCCUAUGUAGAAGCGGGAGACUGGAAGAGGCAUUCCAGCUUAAGGAGAGGAUGGUAGAUAAGGGGAUUCAACCAACUCAUGUUACUUAUGGUGUUCUGAUUAACAGUCUGAUGGAGCUUCAGAAAUACGGUGAAGCUGAUUGUGUCUUGAAAAAGAUGUCGAGUAAGGGGCUUAUUCCCAAUGUUGUUGUUUAUAACACAUUGAUUCAUGGGUUUUGUAAGAUAGGAAAUUUGACAAUUGCCCUGAAGUUAAAGGAUGAUAUGUCAUUACUAGGUGUUAUUCCAAAUUCAGUUACUUAUAAUACUCUCAUAAAUGGACUCUGCAAGGACAAUCAAAUAGAUUUAGCCGAGCAGUUCUUAAGAAAAAUGAUGAAAGGAGGAUUAAGUAUAAACGUAGGUACUAUACAUUCUGUCAUUCAUGGAUUAUGUAAAAACUUAAGAUUGGACUCUGCUCUUAUGUACACCAUGUUGAUGAUCUUUAAGAACUUGAGGCCUGACAAUAUGUUGUUGACAACAUUGAUGAGCAGACUUUGCCAGAAUCAUAUGCAUUCAGAAGCCUUGAAGCUGUAUUAUGAUCUGCAGGGUACAGGAGUUGGUUGCAAUACAGUGACCUUAAAUGCUCUUGUUUUUGGACUUUCUGAAAUUGGUAAUGUGCAAGAAGCUAAAUCUAUCAUCAAGAGCAUGUUGGAUUGUGGUGUUAAGUUGGAUACUUUCACGUACAAUGCACUCAUCUACGGGUGUUGCAAAGAGGAUAUGUUGGAAAUUGGCUUUAAGCUCAAGGAAGAAAUGACUGAGAAAGGAAUCUCCUCAGACAUUAUGACGUACAACAUGCUGAUAAACAGGUUAUCUAAAAAGGGUAAAAUGGAUGAAGCGCUGAUGCUGUGGCACGAAUGCCAAAGGAAUGAUCUUGUUCCUGAUGUUCAUUUAUAUGCAGUAAUGAUAGCUGGGUAUUGCAAUGGUGAAAAUUUUGAGGAGGCUAUGAAUUUCUUUGAUAUGUUACUGCAGCAGAAUAUUAAGCCGAAUUCUGUUGUAUAUAACAUACUCAUUGGAGCAUACUCUAGGGUUGGAAACAUGCCAGAGGCCUUCAAACUCUUUGGUGAGAUGAGAAGCAAAGGUAUUCCACGCACCCUGGUCACCUAUUCUUCUCUAAUACAUGGAAUGGGCAAUGUUGGCCGAGUAAAUGAAUCAACAUAUCUGUUUGAUGAAAUGAGAAAGGAUGGUUUGCAGCCUGAUGUAGUAUGUUACACUGCACUAAUUGGUGGUUAUUGUAAGCUAGGCCAGAUGAAUGAAGCAACAAGUGUCUUGCAGGAAAUGUCUUCAUUUAACAUACAGCCGAAUAAGAUAACUUACACAGUAAUAAUCCAUGGGUACUGCAAGUUGGGUAGGACAGGAGAGGCUGCUGAGGGUCUUAGGGAAAUGCUAAGCAAAGGUAUCACUCCUGAUUCUGUGACUUAUAAUGUGCUGUCACAAGGGUUCUGCAAAGAAGGGGAUACAAAGAAAGCCUUCGCCCUGUGGGAACACAUGUCUGAUAGAGGAAUAAAUUUAGAUGAUGUUGCACAUACUUCAUUGGUUCACUGCAUGUCCCAGCAAUCAAAGAAAGAAAGCCACUAACUCUGGACUGUGAUAUUAUUGAAACUAUUACUGGAUGUCAAUUUCAGCUUUGGGACAUGAAGAUUGCAUCAUCCAACAAACCAAAAAUUAGGUCCGCGAGCAUCUGACUUCUGCCAGGCUGAGCUUGAGUGUUGAUUCAAUCUCAGACUCCAAUCACUUAAGUGACAGGUUUGUACAGCAGUAUUGGAGAUUGCCCAUCAACAAAGAGUGUUGAGUUGAGCCACGAAUGCCACAGCGAUUGAUGAUCAUUAAGUGUAAGUGUACCUCCGGUAAAACAAGAAUUCAACUACUGUAUCAGGUUAAUCGAACUCCAUCCUUUACUUGUACUUCUCCUUUAGGCCAACUGUUUCUGUUAGUUUGUAGAAGUUGACAUCUUGAACUUUUCUUUCUCAAAUUCAUAAAUGUAACGGUUCAUGACAGGGUCAGAGUAUGAGCUAUGCCCACAGUCAAGAUAUUGUAGUAUAUGAUAGUCGCACCAUUUUGGUGGAUGGGUUGUGCUUGAAGCGAGUCUACGAAAUUGCAAAGUGUCACUGUUUGAAUCCGAUGGUGCAGUUAGUUUUCAUUCAAAUACUCCCUUGAUAUGUAGAAGAUGGCAGGCACAUCGGUUGGAAAUCUGAAAAUGUAUUCCAAUUAUGUAGGAGGGAGAGAAUGCAGCUGGGAAAUUUAUACAUACAUGUAUAUAAUCUGUUGAAUAUAGUUGAAAUAACAGACAGCAUCCAGUUAAGUGUAUAAUGCUCAAUAAUAGUCUUGUCAUUGAAUCUGUGUAUGGCAUUGCACGUGUAUUCACCAAAUAUUACAUAAAAAGUAACAUUUUCAACUUAAAUGUAUACAUCCCUGAUUA